UGCUUGAUGUCAUAUAAGCACUAGCCCC
RNAcentral lists this small RNA (28 nucleotides) under Bombyx mori (domestic silkworm). RNAcentral describes it as "ovarian small RNA-34307". The record is from RNAcentral. Lineage: Eukaryota; Metazoa; Arthropoda; Insecta; Lepidoptera; Bombycidae.